CAAUAGCGUAUAUUUAAGUUGUUGCAGUUAAAAAGCUCGUAGUUGGAUUUCGGUUGAGAGCGGCCGGUCCGCCGCUUGGUGUGCACUGGCUGGUUUCAACUUCCUGUAGUAGAGGACGCGCUUUGGGCUUAACGGUCUGAACGUGGAGUCUACGUGGUUACUUUGAAAAAAUUAGAGUGUUCAAAGCGGGCUUACGCUUGAAUAUUUCAGCAUGGAAUAACACUAUAGGACUCCUGUCCUAUUUCGUUGGUCUCGGGACGGGAGUAAUGAUUAAGAGGAACAGUUGGGGGCAUUCGUAUUUCAUUGUCAGAGGUGAAAUUCUUGGAUUUAUGAAAGACGAACUUCUGCGAAAGCAUUUGCCAAGGAUGUUUUCAUUAA
RNAcentral lists this ribosomal RNA (378 nucleotides) under uncultured eukaryote. RNAcentral describes it as "partial 18S ribosomal RNA". It matches the Rfam family "Eukaryotic small subunit ribosomal RNA", at positions 592 to 976 of the family's 1831-position model. The record is from RNAcentral.